RNAcentral lists this ribosomal RNA (484 nucleotides) under uncultured bacterium. RNAcentral's name for it is "partial 16S ribosomal RNA". It matches the Rfam family "Bacterial small subunit ribosomal RNA", at positions 29 to 507 of the family's 1533-position model. The record is from RNAcentral.
AUUGAACGCUGGCGGAAUGCUUUACACAUGCAAGUCGAACGGCAGCACGGGGGCAGCCCUGGUGGCGAGUGGCGAACGGGUGAGUAAUACAUCGGAACGUGCCCGGUCGUGGGGGAUAACGUAGCGAAAGUUACGCUAAUACCGCAUACGAUCUGAGGAUGAAAGCGGGGGACCUUCGGGCCUCGCGCGAUCGGAGCGGCCGAUGUCAGAUUAGGUAGUUGGUGGGGUAAAGGCCUACCAAGCCGACGAUCUGGAGCUGGUCUGAGAGGACGACCAGCCACACUGGGACUGAGACACGGCCCAGACUCCUACGGGAGGCAGCAGUGGGGAAUUUUGGACAAUGGGCGCAAGCCUGAUCCAGCCAUUCCGCGUGCAGGACGAAGGCCUUCGGGUUGUAAACUGCUUUUGUACGGAACGAAAAGGCUCUGGCUAAUACCUGGGGCUCAUGACGGUACCGUAAGAAUAAGCACCGGCUAACUACGUG